AACGAACGCUGGCGGCACGCCUAACACAUGCAAGUCGAGCGAGAUCUUCGGAUCUAGCGGCGGACGGGUUAGUAACGCGUGGGAACGUACCCUUCACUACGGAAUAGUCCCGGGAAACUGGGUUUAAUACCGUAUACGCCCUUCGGGGGAAAGAAUUUCGGUGAAGGAUCGGCCCGCGUUAGAUUAGAUAGUUGGUGGGGUAAUGGCCUACCAAGUCUACGAUCUAUAGCUGGUUUGAGAGGAUGAUCAGCAACACUGGGACUGAGACACGGCCCAG
Molecule: ribosomal RNA, 277 nt
Filed under: uncultured Anaerospora sp.
Lineage: Bacteria; Bacillati; Bacillota; Negativicutes; Selenomonadales; Sporomusaceae
Description: partial 16S ribosomal RNA
Rfam family: Bacterial small subunit ribosomal RNA
Source: RNAcentral